This 817-nucleotide ribosomal RNA is filed under the name uncultured fungus. RNAcentral's name for it is "bacterial SSU rRNA". It matches the Rfam family "Eukaryotic small subunit ribosomal RNA", at positions 803 to 1572 of the family's 1831-position model. Lineage: Eukaryota; Fungi. The record is from RNAcentral.
UUUAGCAUGGAAUAAUGGAAUAGGACUCUGUCUCUAUUUUGUUGGUUUAUAGAGUGCAGGGUAAUGAUCAAUAGGAAUAAUCGGGGUGGUUAGUACUUCAUGGUCAGAGGUGAAAUUCUUGGAUUCAUGAAAGACUAACUUCUGCGAAAGCAUUCCGCAAGGGUGUUUCCAUUGAUCAAGAACGAAAGUUAGGGGAUCGAAGACGAUCAGAUACCGUCGUAGUCUUAACCAUAAACGAUGCCGACCAGGGAUCGGUUGAUGUCCCUUGGAUGACUCAUUCGGCACCUUGUGAGAAAUCACAAGUCUUUGGGCUCCGGGGGGAGUAUGGUCGCAAGGCUGAAACUUAAAGGAAUUGACGGAAGGGCACAACCAGGAGUGGAGCCUGCGGCUUAAUUUGACUCAACACGGGGAAACUUACCAGGUCCAGACAUAGUAAGGAUUGACAGACUGAGAGCUCUUUCUUGAUUCUAUGGGUGGUGGUGCAUGGUCGUUCUUAGUUGGUGGAGUGAUUCGUCUGGUCAAUUCCGAUAACGAACGAGACCUCAGCCUGCUAAAUAGUCACCAUAGCCGUCUAUAUGGGUGAAGCGUGGAUCGUGGGGGUGCUCCGGUGCCUCUGCCUCUGCGUGGAUCCCUGAUGUGCUAGUGGGUUGGACUUCUUAGAGGGACUAUUGGCGUUUAGCCAAUGGAAGUUUGAGGCAAUAACAGGUCUGUGAUGCCCUUAGAUGUCCUGGGCUGCACGCGCGCUACACUGCUCGGGUCAACAAGCUUUUACCUUGUCCGACGAGACUGGGGAAUCUUGUGAAAUCUGAGCGUGAUG